AAAGUGUACUCACAUCUGUCAUUUCGUGUCAUUCUUACAUAAAUCCUGUAGCUGGGCACAGUAGGAAGAAGCAUUCUCAUCAUGGCCACUUAGCUUGCUCGAGAUUACACAGAACCAUGCCUCUGGUUUCCUGGUACAGUGCUCCGGCAGGUGACGGAUGCUCCUGGGUGACAUAUCACGGAUCUCUCUGAGGUAAGACGUGCCUUUUGCCUUCCACCUUCUGCCGUGAUUGUGAGGACCCGCCAGCCACGUGGAACUGCAAGAUGGCUGACUAGGAACAGCUCCGGUCUGCAGCUCCCAGCGAGACCAACACAGAAGGCAGGCCGUCAUCCUUAAGCCAUAAAAUGCCCUGUAGAGGUGGAACAGGUCAGAAGACUGAAUGCUCAAGCUGCAUGUGGAGUUAACAUGGCAAUAACACAGAAUGUGAUGACAGCAGACUCUAGAAUCUCAUGACAUCAGUUUAUAUUAGAACUGUUCUGUAGCUCACCUUUCUCCGAAGUUGGAAUUCACAUGGCUGUGGAAUGUG
Molecule: long non-coding RNA, 526 nt
Organism: Homo sapiens (human)
Lineage: Eukaryota; Metazoa; Chordata; Mammalia; Primates; Hominidae
Gene: RMDN2-AS1
Product: RMDN2 antisense RNA 1
Exons: 4
Source: RefSeq, marked validated